This 382-nucleotide ribosomal RNA is filed under the name uncultured soil bacterium. Its description in RNAcentral is "bacterial SSU rRNA". It matches the Rfam family "Bacterial small subunit ribosomal RNA", at positions 26 to 411 of the family's 1533-position model. The record is from RNAcentral.
AGAUUGAACGCUGGCGGCAUGCUUUACACAUGCAAGUCGAACGGCAGCGCGGGGCAACCUGGCGGCGAGUGGCGAACGGGUGAGUAAUAUAUCGGAACGUACCCAAGAGUGGGGGAUAACGUAGCGAAAGUUACGCUAAUACCGCAUACGAUCUAAGGAUGAAAGCAGGGGACCGCAAGGCCUUGUGCUCCUGGAGCGGCCGAUAUCUGAUUGGCUAGUUGGUAGGGUAAAGGCCUACCAAGGCUACGAUCAGUAGCUGGUCUGAGAGGACGACCAGCCACACUGGAACUGAGACACGGUCCAGACUCCUACGGGAGGCAGCAGUGGGGAAUUUUGCACAAUGGGCGAAAGCCUGGAUGCAGCGACGCCGCGUGAGGGAUGA